CGGGUUUGACUAUGACCCUUCAUUAGGCUGGUGUGAUCUUGUAUGUCGAGCACGAGCAGUGGACGCCCUUAUUCAUUGUGGAGUUGGUUGCUCACUUUGGUUCAGGAAUGCUGUGUCAUUGUUAGUCGAGGCGCUAGCUCCGUCUAAAUGACUUGUAGAAAACAUUAAUAACAAUAAACUAGAUUUGUGGGUUCAGAACAUUAUACCUUGUGUCAUUUGAAUCAUCGAGAUGAACGUAUGAACUUUCUAUCUCAAUCGGUGUCGAGUUUCUUUGUCGAUGUUGACUCGCUCUAGUAACAUGUAUCGUGGUGGUGGUUCUAGAACUUCGUCGUCAAGGUCGAUGACCGGUGGUGCUAAAAAUCAGUUUCAGCCUCGGUUUAAAAGAAUCGAGAAAAUGUUGGCUGACUGGCAUCUAGUACGAACCAUGGUCCAUUUUCGGGCUUUAGAGUCGACCGACGGUGAUUUGUAGUGAUUGUGGGCGACAGUAAACUGCGGUGGAUGACGAUGUAUGGCGGUAAAUGGUUGAAAUGUCGUUGGUUAGUUUGGGUGCUUCUAUGGGCGGCGGUUAUGGGGUGAAAGCUAAGGUUUUGGGAUUGUAAAGGUGGUGGUCAGGUUAGGGUGAAGAAGAUGAAGUUUUUUAGGGGUUUUGUAUAGGUUCGAUGAUGGGGCCUAUGAACGGUGGUGAUGUUGGCUUGCAAAAGGUGGUGUUCGACGGAAGGGGGUUAAGAAUGGUCGUGGUGGCAUAGAUGGUGAGAGGUGGUGUUUUGAGGGGUUUAUUCGACAAUGGGAGGUGAGAAGAGGGACGAUUUGAGGGAUGGCGAAAAGGUCGUUAACAGUAAAGGGGUCAACGACGAUAAAGGGGUGAACGACGACGACUUUCG
RNAcentral lists this long non-coding RNA (881 nucleotides) under Gossypium barbadense (sea-island cotton). RNAcentral describes it as "long non-coding RNA (GBAR_LNC021147)". Lineage: Eukaryota; Viridiplantae; Streptophyta; Magnoliopsida; Malvales; Malvaceae. The record is from RNAcentral.